CGGCGGACGGGUGGGUAAUGUAUGGGGAUCUGCCUGAUGGCGGGGGAUAACACUGGAAACGGUAGCUAAUACCGCAUAAUGUCUACGGACCAAAGCGGGGGACCUCCGGGCCUCGCGCCAUCAGAUGAACCCAUAUGGGAUUAGCUAGUAGGUAAGGUAACGGCUUACCUAGGCGACGAUCCCUAGCUGGUCUGAGAGGAUGAUCAGCCACACUGGGACUGAGACACGGCCCAG
Molecule: ribosomal RNA, 234 nt
Filed under: uncultured bacterium
Lineage: Bacteria
Description: partial 16S ribosomal RNA
Rfam family: Bacterial small subunit ribosomal RNA
Source: RNAcentral